RNAcentral lists this ribosomal RNA (374 nucleotides) under uncultured organism. Its description in RNAcentral is "partial 16S ribosomal RNA". It matches the Rfam family "Bacterial small subunit ribosomal RNA", at positions 527 to 896 of the family's 1533-position model. The record is from RNAcentral.
GUAGGUGGCAAGCGUUGUCCGGAAUUAUUGGGCGUAAAGCGCGCGCAGGCGGGUCCUUUAAGUCUGAUGUGAAAGCCCACGGGCUCAACCGUGGAGGGUCAUUGGAAACUGGGGGACUUGAGUACAGAAGAGGAAAGCGGAAGUCCAAGUGUAGCGGUGAAAUGCGUAGAGAUUUGGAGGAACACCAGUGGCGAAGGCGGCUUUCUGGUCUGUAACUGACGCUGAGGCGCGAAAGCGUGGGGAGCAAACAGGAUUAGAUACCCUGGUAGUCCACGCCGUAAACGAUGAGUGCUAAGUGUUAGGGGGUUUCCGCCCCUUAGUGCUGCAGCUAACGCAUUAAGCACUCCGCCUGGGGAGUACGGCCGCAAAGGCUG